AACAGCAGCAUCUGCUGCAACUAUUGGUUUAGAGUUAAUCUCAUAACUUGCUACUUCCUUUCUCUGAUUUGUCUCCACUACGCCUACAAGCAUUCUGGUCACCACAUUCUCUCGUCUUCCAUCAUAUGCUUUCCAGCAGUUACAGCAACUAAAUCUAUCAACACGGGUAGGAUAUUCUCUGCAACAUUCAAAAAUCGUUCAUGAAGACUUUAUACAAUAAUUCCAUGACGUUGACAAUUCAAUAUCCUGAGAACUGGUUCUAUGAAAUGGGAGAUGAUGGAUAGAUAUUCCAGUCUGCCUAUUCACACAAACUAAUGUGUUUCUUCCAGCACCAACAUCGACCACAACUUCAACAACAACAUCGACAACGACCCCAACUUCAACAACAGCAUCGACAACGACUCCGAUUUCAACAACAGCAUCAACAUAUCAGACAACUACUUCAACUUCAACAGGUAAUAAGUUAGCAAUAAAAAUGUGUGAUUUGCAUGAUCCUCCCAAGUCUAUGAAUCAUUCAAUUCCCAAAUAUCCCAUUCAUGAACAUGGACACUUAAGGACGUAAAUUAAUUAAACAAGCAGCGUGCACAUUCGUUUCAUAAUCAUAAAACCUACUGCACCAAUAAUUUAAUGUUUUUUUGGAAAGCCAAACUGGCUUUAUCCAUUGAAACGUAGACUAGUUGGUUGGCAACUUUCAUUCGGGGUCCUCUUGACAUUAAACAAUACCUCAUCACUGCAUCAAUUGAAAAUUUCUUGUGAAAAACAGGGUGACUAUUUCCACGUUGAUAUUGGCAAAACAAGAUCCCAGUGGGUUCAUUGAAUACUGUCCUCUUGUUUACUCCAGUAAUAUAAAAGCAAGCCCAUAUUCCUUAGGGGUUGGACAGGCUAGAUGCAGGAAGAUUGUUCCCGAUGUUGGGGAAGUCCAGGACAAGGGGUCACAGCUUAAGGAUAAGGGGGAAAUCCUUUAAAACUGAGAUGAGAAGAACUUUUUUCACACAGAGUGUUGAAUCUCUGGAACUCUCUGCCACAGAGGGUAGUCAAGGCCAGUUCAUUGGCUAUAUUUAAGAGGGAGUUAGAUGUGGCCCUUGUGGCUAAGUGGAUCAGAGGGUAUGGAGAGAAGGCAGGUACAGAGUUGGAUGAUCAGCCAUGAUCAUAUUGAAUGGCGGUGCAGGCUCGAAGGGCCGAAUGGCCUGCUCCUGCACCUAAUUUCUAUGUUUCUAUGU
Leucoraja erinaceus (little skate) is the source of this 1220-nucleotide long non-coding RNA. RefSeq lists it as uncharacterized. The record is from RefSeq and is a predicted model, not a curated record. The transcript is spliced from 4 exons. NCBI's taxonomy places the organism in Eukaryota, Metazoa, Chordata, Chondrichthyes, Rajiformes, Rajidae.